Molecule: long non-coding RNA, 4621 nt
Organism: Canis lupus familiaris (dog)
Lineage: Eukaryota; Metazoa; Chordata; Mammalia; Carnivora; Canidae
Exons: 5
Source: RefSeq, a predicted model, not a curated record
AGAAGGGAAUCCCCCAGGGGCUGGGCCUGGGUUGGGAUCUGCAGAAGCAGAGGAGGAAUAGUUGAGUUUAAGUGCAGGGCAUUGGUUGGAGGUCAGCAUCUGUAGAAAUAAGAGGAAGAUGUGUACUGGGCAAAGGGAGAGCCCCAUCAGUGAUGUGAGCCUGGCAAUGUGGAGGCCGACCCAGCGGGGAGCCCUGGAGGGAAUGGCGUCCGCUGGAGUUAUCCCAGGGCAGGCUGAUGUGCUGGCCUUUCUUCUCCGACUCACCCCUGACAUAGGCUGCCUGGGAUAAAAGCAGACCAUAGGCAGGGCAGUUCUACAGCUGAUGGACACUGAGGGGGCUAGAGGCUGUCUGCAGACCACUCUUCCCCAUGGCUGAGAAGCAAGUCCUUCCUUGAAGAGGGACCUUAGUGACAGAUCUCCAUGUCCGUCAAGAUGUAUUCUAUCUCCGUGUGAUGGGCAAAGGCAUUCCUCGCUUUAGGUCAGCAAUUCUGCUACCUGAAAAGUAAAGAAAAUCUGUCCCAUCAACCUUAGAUGGAACAAUUUCAGGAGAGAGUUCAGUUUGGAUCACCUGAUCAUCAUUUGUCAUCCUGGCUUCCAUGGUGUCUGAGGACAGAAGGAUACCGUACCUGGUCUCAUGUGGCUGUCUGGACUUCUCAUCAGACCAAAGAGAAUGAAGAUGAGCAUCAGAAACACUACAAAGGAGACCGUGAGGCUGAUUGAAAAGCUGUGGCCUGAUACCACUGAGGCUCGUCCUUCCGAGAAAGAGGACACGUUCACAAACACAGUACACAAGUGGCUGUGGAGCUCAAUGGAGGGAAGCCGUGGUCAGAUGCCAGAAUGACGAGCUUAUGACAGGAAGCUGCUUCUCUAUCCAGACUGUGGAGCAACACCAGGGAGUCAGCAGGAUGCGGCUGCAGUCCCAACUCUGCUGUUUAUGAGUCAUGUAUUUUGGAAAAGAUAAUGAACAUCUCAGCUGACUUCCUACCUUCUACACACAAUUGAUUUUCAGUAUUUUUCUCACGGUCAUAACAAGCCCUCAGUGGAGAGUAUGAGUUUGGCGUUGCUCCUGCCAAUAAAGAGUUCAAGCUUUUUGAACUUGAAUAUUUUUGCUACAGAAACUGAAUAUUUAAACCUUUAAAUUAACUCUUAUUUGCCUAAAGUUUUUUUUUUCCCAUUCUGUUUCAUAAAUACACAGGUAUGUACUCUGCAGAUUCAUUCACAUGCUACAACAGGAAGCCCUACUAAGACCACUCACACGGGCAAGAAUCCCCUCAGUUCUACCAUUUACUAGCUGUGUAUUCUUGGCAAACAACUUUAUUCUCUGAACUUUAAUUUCCUCUUUCUGUAAAUCUUAAUCGGUUAUGAGAAAUCGACAUUUAAAGCAGCUCCAUAAAUGGCAACUAUUGUGAUUAUUAAUAUGCCUCUUGCCAUGGGUUAUAAUGGUGCUUGAUUUUUGAGUUCCCCAAAAACAAGAAGUGUGGCAUGUGUCUUUACAUCCCCAGCCUCAUGCUUCGUAAAUAGUUUUUAAAAAUUCAGAAAUAUCAGUCAGAUAGAACUUAAGGUCUAUUUUAUAGUUUGUCAUCACCUCUCCACUGAGCUUUCUUAUAUAUGGCUUAAUAAGAGGCCUAAAAAUUAUUUAAUUUUUCUUUAAUGCCUCAGUAUAUUGAGUAUAAUCAGAACUGAAAAUAUCUUUUUCUCCUUCAUUUUAGAAUUGGGAAUAUUUUCUUCAAUUGGACAAAUAGCGGUACUUCAAAAGUAAAGUUAAAAGCUGAAUGUUACCAUUUCCAAAGCAUCCACUAACUAUGCAGUAGACAAGGGAAAAGUGAUCCUAUAUUUCCUGUUACUUUAAGUAUCAGGGAAAGCACUAAGGAGGAAGAGAAGCCACAUGGGGGUGGAUACAGGGGAAAGCAUGAACAGGCAGGAGGUUUAAAAUACUUCCUUAAAAAAAAAAAUUAAAAUAAAAUAAAAUAAAAUACUUCCUUGCUCUGGUGAUAGUUGAGACUGUGUAUGUGUGUGUGUCUGUGUGUCUGUGUGUGGUUGUCUCUGUAUCUCUCUGUGGCCCUGUGUGUAUAGUUCAAAUUCUCUCAGUUCUCCAGGCCUUGAGUUAAAUUCUUCAUGGUGAAUUGGAGAGGGGCACUUUUAAAUAUUGGGACCAAUUUAGACGUUGGGAACAUUGAAACAAUGACGCAAAUAGGAAAAAGCUUAAAGGAGUCUGAUUUAAUUGCUAAUUAGGCUCCAUUGAGUAAGAAGAACAUAAGGACAGAAGGUCAUUACAAUCCAGAAGUGCUUAGUUUCUGGAACACAGCAGAUCUUCAAUAAGCUCUGAAUUUGUCAUCACUCAGGUGGCAUGGGGCUGAGACUUAACCUACAGUCAUCUACAGAGCAAGAAAAUCAGCUGUAUGCGUAAAACGACUGUAGAGACAAGGUAGCAGAGACUGGUUGUAACAUAGUCAUACAGCCGGUUUUAAUAUAUUUAUACAAUAAGCAUCAUAACAAUUGAUUACAUUAAAAUAUUACCGAACAGAAUCCUACUAGUUAAUACAGGAUAAGGCCUUAAACUUUGCAAAUGCUUUUGAAGUCAUAUUUUGAAAUAUAUUAAACAAAAAGAACUAAACAAUCAAAUUUUUAGAGCCAGGAAGGUUUUCAGAGGUUAAUGAAUUCAACCCGUCCUGUAACAGAUCCCACUGUAAUCAGCUCAGCCACAUGCAUCUACUGCACUUUCUUCAUUAAACAUGAAAGCAGUCUGGCCUAGGAGAACACUGGCACUCCGGGCUUUCACAUGCCUGGUUUUCCUCUGUGUAGAAGGUCUGCUCCGUAGCUUGUACAGUGGAAACAGUGGGAGUCAAAAUCAGAACACUUGGACUCAAGCCUCUGUGUGAUCACUAGAUGGUUCUGUGGCCCUGAGCAAGCCACCCCAUAUCAGCUGUCUUAUCAGUGAAUGAAAAAAUGACUAACUUGGCUUCUUUGGGGGCGACUGUAAGGAUGAAAGGAAACACUAUGUGCAAGGCCUUUUGGAAGACCAUACAAAAAUAUGAUAUGAAUAUAUUAAAAUGCACAAUGAGAAAGCCAAGCUUUUGUUUCACAUGUUUCCCCUGUGACCACUUCUCCAGAGACAGACAAGGUUAAGUUUCUUAUAUUUUCUUCCUGAAGUCAUCCAAGUCUAUGGGUGCGCCUUGACUCAAAUUGGCCUGCAGAGUAAGUUCUGGAGUGCAGCUGGUUAUUUCCCCCACAUCCCCAUAUAACCUAGAGCUCUCUCCUCAGUGGCACUCACAGAGAAACCACCUUCUCUUGUCAAAUGGUGGUAUUCCAUGGGAGGCUGGGCUGCCGUGUUUGCGGCAAUCCCCGUUCCUGAACAUUUUUGGUUCCUUAGAGUCCUCCUUUUUCUUUUAUAGACUGUGAUGCCAUAAAUAUAUCUGUAUAUAUCGCUAGAUUUUUGUAGCACUGACUUUUUAAAAUAACUAGAUGAACUAUGAGACCAUUAUUCUCUCUUUUAUAGAAUUUGCAUAAUUCUGUACACCUUGAACUGUAGACAAAAAUAUAUAUUUAAUGUUGAAUGUGUGCUUAAUCCGAUCAUUUCCAUCAGAACCCAGUACUGCAACAAGGACCUGACGACAGGGUUGUACUUUUGUCCACACACAGUUGUGGACAAAAGAAUUUUAAAAAGAAUUAAUUAAGAAGAAUUAAUUAAAGAAUUAAAAAAAGAAAUGUCACCGAGUCUUCACUUUUUUUUUGUCUUCACUAUUUUUUAAAACAAUAACAACAAAAAGUAGCAGAGUGUUCUAUCAUUUAGUAGGCAUUUCACAAAUACUGUCUUUUCUAAUGUCUCUCAUUUAGUACUUAGUAGCAUAAAAAAAAUUCAUAAAAGCUAAGAACUACAAGGGACCCUAAGGUACUUCUCAUCUAAUCACCUUUUCCAAAGAGCAAAUACUUUGUAAGAUUCCUUUAGUAUAUUGAAAGGGUGAUCAUAGGUUGGAUCAAAGGAAAACACAUUUUAUAACUAAGCUUACAUGAGAGGAAGUCAUGGCCGAAGCAACACAUUUGUCAGAAACAAGCCGAAUAAACAAGCAAACGGAUCUGAAUCUGGGACCGACCUGUAGGAGCUGGUGAGCUCGUAAUCUAGAAUCACAUUUGCUGUGAUCACACCACUCAGUGCGUCAAUGUGGAAUGCUUCCCCUUGGUUGCCAGAGAGAAUGGAAUAUUCGGUGAGGCCAUUCAUCCCACUGUCCAGGUCCACAGCAAAAACCUGUGAGGAAGCAGCUCUUCUAUUAGAUAAGGGUUCAAUCUACAAGAUGAGUUAAAAAAUUUUUAACUGUCUGUUUUUCAGACAAAUGCAUGAUGAAACAAUCACAAAUUGUCAAACACUUCAAAAACAAUGAUCAAAGGAAUGGCAACAAAUGGCUGAAGCUCACGUUUAUAACAUAGUAGGUAACGGGUGGGAAAAGUACUCUGCAGGCCCAUUCAAAGGACUUUCAAACAACUUUCAGAAGGAGUAGCACAUGUUUUGAACUACAGAUUUAAGCAAGACGCAAAAACACAGGGAUACCUCAGAGAUAUUGAGGGUUCAGUUCCAGACCACCCAAAUCCAAAAAUAUUGUAAUAAAGCAAGUCAAAUGAAUUUUUU